CAUUACUGCGUUCGGCAUUCCUCUUGACCAAUUACAAACUAUUAAUUAUUGUAUAACUUUGCUGACAAGUUGGUUGUUAGCUAAAUGGAAGAACUUGUCUUAAUCACCUACAUCAAUGAAUUUCAUGUUUUGAUUAGUCAAACACGUUCUAAAUAUAAGCAGAUGUAGAUCAUUCGUAAAUAAUUCAGCAACCCAUCGACAGAAAUAACGAAGACAAUGCAUUGGUUAAUCUAUAAUCGAAAAUAGUGUUUUAUCAGAACCAGCAUAAUCUGUUCAUCCUAGAAAAUUUUUUCAUGUGCAGGACUUGUAACAAAACUUAGAAACAGACUUGCAUCUGAUGUUGUUUGUCAAAUCAUAUUUAUGAACUAGAUCAAAAUAAAUGUGCUCUGCGGUGAACCCUCUGCAUCUUACAUCGCAAAGAGACAUAUGUGACGGUGUUUGUAAACGUAUUAACCUUUUGGUGAUUUAAUAACUCACAAGCCG
This 483-nucleotide long non-coding RNA is filed under the name Mytilus galloprovincialis (Mediterranean mussel). Lineage: Eukaryota; Metazoa; Mollusca; Bivalvia; Mytilida; Mytilidae. The record is from RNAcentral.